AUUGGGUUUUUUUCUGAAUUUUACAUGUGCAGUUCUAGACCAGGCUCACUUACUACUUGUUUUUGUCAUGAAACUGCACUGCAGUUCCCAGUUUUCUACAUAUGAUGGUAGACUGAACAGAUGCUGUGUUUCAGAUGUGAGCUGCAACACGAGUCUGCGGUGGCGAUAUCUGCAUCCUGGUGAGCCCACAGCCAAGGGCCACACUCUGACAAAAACCAGGCAGGAGCAAUGAAUGAACGAGCAGAAGAAAAGCAAACGUGUGUGUGCGAGUCAAAGCGGCGGCUUAAUGUGCAAGUAUGAGUUGUGUUCAUACGGAGAGUCUAACAGAACAGGAAGGAAGAAGAGAGACGACACAGAAGAAGAGUGAGGAUGCAUUCGCUUGCACAUGGGAAGACCUCGACCCAGAUCAGUAAAAUGAGAUGAAGAAGCUGAUGGAGAAGUUGAAGGGGGUAUUCUACUCCCAGGAGUAGACCACUCCUUCACCAUGGUUGGUUGAGGCCACUGCAGCACUGGUCCAUUGCUCCGCCUCCAGCACUGAUCACAUAGCCCAGGAAAGAAGUUGAAGUUUUAUGGAACGCACAUUUCUCUCCAUUAGCCUACAGUCCAUGAAUGAUCAGUUGGUUCAGCAUCUGCUGGACGUGGGAGAUGUGCUGCUUGAAGGUGUCAGAAAAGACCAGGAUGUCUUCUAUGUAGAUGAUGACACAUCGCUGCAGCAGGUCUCGGAAGACGUUCUUCACGAAAACCUGGAAAACAGAGGGGACACUGCAGAGAGCAAAGACCAGAUACUCAUAAUAUCCAGAGAUGGUAGAAAAGCUGAUCCUCCAUUCAUCUGCUGGAUGAGGUUGUACGUGCUUCUUAGAUCUGCUCCUGACAGUGACCAGAGGGGGAGUAAGAGCUCUGACAUGUAUAUAUGUGUAUAUAUAUAUAUAUAUAUAUAGUUUUUGCUCUCACACACCCCUCUGCAUUUAUCCGGACUUGGGACCGGCACAAGAGAACACUGGAUUGUGUUCCCUUGUGGUUGCAUUACAUGUAUUAAGCAAUUAAUGAAAUAAUUCGUCAUUGAAUUGAUUCAUUCAUUCCCACCACUUUUUACCAUAUUUUUUACAUAAACCCAUUCGUAGAUCAAUCUAAUAUCAUCCAUUCUAACCAUACACCCA
Long non-coding RNA from Oryzias melastigma (Indian medaka), 1157 nucleotides. RefSeq lists it as uncharacterized. The record is from RefSeq and is a predicted model, not a curated record. Lineage: Eukaryota; Metazoa; Chordata; Actinopteri; Beloniformes; Adrianichthyidae. The transcript is spliced from 3 exons.